This 1305-nucleotide long non-coding RNA is filed under the name Homo sapiens (human). Its description in RNAcentral is "non-protein coding lnc-CENPP-20:7". The record is from RNAcentral. Lineage: Eukaryota; Metazoa; Chordata; Mammalia; Primates; Hominidae.
UGGGCCGGACAGGCACCUUCGUGGCCCUGUCGAGGCUGCUGCAGCAGCUGGAGGAGGAGCAGAUGGUAGACGUGUUCCAUGCUGUGUAUGCACUCCGGAUGCACCAGCCCCUCAUGAUCCAGACCCUGAGCCAGUACGUCUUCCUGCACAGCUGCCUACUGAACAAGAUUCUGGAAGGACCCUUCAACAUCUCUGAGUCUUGGCCCAUCUCUGUGACGGACCUCCCGCAGGCGUGUGCCAAGAGGGCAGCCAGUGCCAAUGCUGGCUUCUUGAAGGAGUACGAGCUCUUGCUGUAGGCCAUCAAGGACGAGGCUGGCUUUUCCGCACCCCCGCCUGGCUAUGAGCAGGACAGCCCCGUCUCCUGUGAGUCUCACUGUGGACCCUGUGGAGGGGCAGGGGGCCAGCGUGGGCUGGGGACCUCUGGCAGCUUCACCCUCACUGUCUUCCCUCAGAUGACCGUUCUCAGGGGCAGUUUUCUCCGGUGGAGGAGAGCCCCCCUGACGACAUGCCCGAAGCCUGGCUCUUCCCUCCAUAGGAAUUCUGGCCAACGGAGAUGCAGCCCGUAGUCACAGACAUGGUGACGGUGCACUGGGUGGCUGAGAGCAGCACAGCAGGCUGGUUCUGUACCCUCCUCAGGGUCACACAUGGGGAGAGCAGGAAGGAAAGGGAGGUGCAGAGACUGCAAUUUCCAUACCUGGAGCCUGGGCAUGAGCUGCCCGCCACCACCCUGCUGCCCUUCCUGGCUGCUGUGGGCCAGUGCUGCUCUCGGGGCAACAACAAGAAGCCGGGCACACUGCUCAGCCACUCCAAGUGUUGUUGGACAAUGGUCUUGGGGGAGUGGACAAUGGUCUUGGGGGAGCGGACACUGGAAGCCCCUCCCUGCCCUUCUGGCAUAGCCUCAGAUCUCCCUGGGCUCUGCUUGGGUUAUGGGUCAAAAGGACACAGUCUCACAAUGCCCCUGUCUUCUCCACACCCUACCCUGUCCUCAGGAAUAUGGUGGGAAUUUACCGCCUCCCUCCCUAGGUCCAGGCUGGCCGGCUGACCAAGUGUCCGGUGUCCCUUCUCAGUCCCUGCGCCCAGGUUGGGUUUUCCCACAUCCGUGGACACCCCCGCCACACCCCCUUUAGGUACCUCAUCCACCUCUAGGUCAGUUGCAGCAAGGGUGCAACCCAGCUGGGCACCUUCCUGGCCAUGGAGCAGCUGCUGCAGCAGGCAGGGUCUGAGUGCACCGUGGAUAUCUUUAACGUGGCCCUGCAGCAGUCUCAGGCCUGUGGCCUUAUGACCCCAACACUGGUGAGAGGCGAC